ACUGCGUACCUUUUGUAUAAUGGGUCAGCGACUUAUAUUCUGUAGCAAGGUUAACCGUAUAGGGGAGCCGCAGGGAAACCGAGUCUUAACCGGGCGUUAAGUUGCAGGGUAUAGACCCGAAACCCGGUGAUCUAGCCAUGGGCAGGUUGAAGGUUGGGUAACACUAACUGGAGGACCGAACCGACUAAUGUUGAAAAAUUAGCGGAUGACCUGUGGCUGGGGGUGAAAGGCCAAUCAAACCGGGAGAUAGCUGGUUCUCCCCGAAAGCUAUUUAGGUAGCGCCUCGUGAAUUCAUCUCCGGGGGUAGAGCACUGUUUCGGCUAGGGGGCCAUCCCGGCUUACCAACCCGAUGCAAACUGCGAAUACCGGAGAAUGUUAUCACGGGAGACACACGGCGGGUGCUAACGUCCGUCGUGAAGAGGGAAACAACCCAGACCGCCAGCUAAGGUCCCAAAGUCAUGGUUAAGUGGGAAACGAUGUGGGAAGGCCCAGACAGCCAGGAUGUUGGCUUAGAAGCAGCCAUCAUUUAAAGAAAGCGUAAUAGCUCACUGGUCGAGUCGGCCUGCGCGGAAGAUGUAACGGGGCUAAACCAUGCACCGAAGCUGCGGCAGCGACACUAUGUGUUGUUGGGUAGGGGAGCGUUCUGUAAGCCUGUGAAGGUGGCCUGUGAGGGUUGCUGGAGGUAUCAGAAGUGCGAAUGCUGACAUAAGUAACGAUAAAGCGGGUGAAAAGCCCGCUCGCCGGAAGACCAAGGGUUCCUGUCCAACGUUAAUCGGGGCAGGGUGAGUCGACCCCUAAGGCGAGGCCGAAAGGCGUAGUCGAUGGGAAACGGGUUAAUAUUCCCGUACUUGGUGUUACUGCGAAGGGGGGACGGAGAAGGCUAUGUUGGCCGGGCGACGGUUGUCCCGGUUUAAGCGUGUAGGCUGGUUUUCCAGGCAAAUCCGGAAAAUCAAGGCUGAGGCGUGAUGACGAGGCACUACGGUGCUGAAGCAACAAAUGCCCUGCUUCCAGGAAAAGCCUCUAAGCAUCAGGUAACACGAAAUCGUACCCCAAACCGACACAGGUGGUCAGGUAGAGAAUACCAAGGCGCUUGAGAGAACUCGGGUGAAGGAACUAGGCAAAAUGGUGCCGUAACUUCGGGAGAAGGCACGCUGACA
RNAcentral lists this ribosomal RNA (1157 nucleotides) under Salmonella enterica. Its description in RNAcentral is "partial 23S ribosomal RNA". It matches the Rfam family "Bacterial large subunit ribosomal RNA", at positions 596 to 1756 of the family's 2925-position model. Lineage: Bacteria; Pseudomonadati; Pseudomonadota; Gammaproteobacteria; Enterobacterales; Enterobacteriaceae. The record is from RNAcentral.